This 497-nucleotide ribosomal RNA is filed under the name uncultured bacterium. Its description in RNAcentral is "partial 16S ribosomal RNA". It matches the Rfam family "Bacterial small subunit ribosomal RNA", at positions 28 to 507 of the family's 1533-position model. The record is from RNAcentral.
GAUGAACGCUGGCGGCGUGCCUAAUAUAUGCAAGGCGAGCGAACGGACCAGCAGCUUGCUCCUCUGACGUUAGCUGCAGACGUGUGAGUAACACGUGGAUAAACUACCUAUAAGACUCGGCUUACUUCGGGAAACCGGAUCUAAUGCCGUAUAAUAUAUUCAACUGCAUGGUUCAAUAGUGCAAGGCUGUCUUGCUAUCACUUAUCGCUGAAGCCGCGCCGCAUUAGCUACUUGGUACGGUAACGGCAUACCAAGGCAACGAUGCGUAGCCGCCCUGAGAGCGUGAUCGGCCACACUGGAACCGAGACCCGGUCCAGACUCCUACGGGAGGCACACGUAGGGAAUCUACCGCAAUGCGCGACAGCUUGACGGAGCACCCCCGCGUGAGUGAUGAAGCUCUUCGCAUCGUAAAACUCCGUUCUUCGGGAAGAUCAAAUGUGUAACUAACUAUGCACGUUCCGACGGUACCUAAUAAGAACGCAACGGCUAAACACGUG